RNAcentral lists this ribosomal RNA (462 nucleotides) under uncultured bacterium. RNAcentral's name for it is "partial 16S ribosomal RNA". It matches the Rfam family "Bacterial small subunit ribosomal RNA", at positions 28 to 507 of the family's 1533-position model. The record is from RNAcentral.
GACGAACGCUGGCGGCGUGCUUAACACAUGCCAGUCGAGCGGAAAGGCCCUUCGGGGUCCUCGAGCGGCGAAGGGGUGAGUAACACGUGAGUAACCUGCCCCAGACUUUGGGAUAACCCUCGGAAACGGGGGCUAAUACCGGAUACGACACAGCUUCGCAUGGGGUCUGUGUGGAAAGUUUUGCGGUUUGGGAUGGGCUCGCGGCCUAUCAGCUUGUUGGUGGGGUGAUGGCCUACGAAGGCGACGACGGGUAGCCGGCCUGAGAGGGCGACCGGCCACACUGGGACUGAGACACGGCCCAGACUCCUACGGGAGGCAGCAGUGGGGAAUAUUGCACAAUGGGCGGAAGCCUGAUGCAGCGACGCCGCGUGAGGGAUGACGGCCUUCGGGUUGUAAACCUCUUUCAGCAGGGACGAAGCGUAAGUGACGGUACCUGCAGAAGAAGCGCCGGCCAACUACGUG